AUUUGAGCAGAAGGUUCUGCAUUUUGAUUGUAAAUCAAAAUAAAGGGAUUCGAGUUCCCUCAAAUA
Molecule: transfer RNA, 66 nt
Filed under: Penicillium sp. ShG4C
Lineage: Eukaryota; Fungi; Ascomycota; Eurotiomycetes; Eurotiales; Aspergillaceae
Description: tRNA-Tyr
Source: RNAcentral